Long non-coding RNA from Micropterus dolomieu (smallmouth bass), 783 nucleotides. RefSeq lists it as uncharacterized. Lineage: Eukaryota; Metazoa; Chordata; Actinopteri; Centrarchiformes; Centrarchidae. The record is from RefSeq and is a predicted model, not a curated record. The transcript has 3 exons.
UUCGUGUUUCAACAAUUUCACACGCUAUUUCAUCACUAAAUUCACUUCUGAGAACGUUUGAUGCAAAAAAUCAACUGUGUAGAUUUCAAAUAUUGGCAUUUUAAUGAAAAUGUUAAAAUGUGCUCAAACGUUUUCGGAAGUGAGAACCUCCGCCUGCGGGUGUAGCUAGCGAGCCAACCGGCCAGUCACGCUCACAGACCGUUGCAGCAGACGACGGCUGAGUGGCAGACGAAAGCCAGACCCACAGCUGGACAUCUGAGGAAACCAACGGGCGUACGAGGCUCUCUUCACUGGUCGGAGGAAUUCCCCCAAAAAUGGAUGGGAAGUCUGACCCAAACAAGCUGUGAAGAAUUGGAACAACCUACCACCCACACAUCUUUCAGUAAUGUAGUGGGACUGAUUUAAGCAAGAUUUACCAAGUUAAUAUGCACUUAUUUUGACUGGUGGAGUACACGUAUCAUACAGACGCAAAGGGCAAGGACAUGCCUUAUCAAACACUUUUUGGAAACUGUAAACUAAACAACAUAUCCCAACUUUUAAAAAAAUUUAUAUUCUAUGUUGUAUUUAAACUUCAUCAUUACUGCAUGAUAUCUUAAAAUAACUGUUGUAUAACUUGACAUGAAGGGAAUUUACACAGGUUAGCGUUGCAGCAAACAUUUAUGAAGCCAGUCAAACUGUAGAAACGCUUUAGGACUACAAAUAUAUUCAACAAUCGUUUUCACCAGCCAGCGAGCAGGAGCCAGCAAACAGGAGGCAGCAAGCAGGAGCCAGCGAGCAGGAGGA